CCCUUAGAUGUCCUGGGCCGCACGCGCGCUACACUGACGGAGCCAGCGAGCUUACCCCUUUGCCGAAAGGCAUGGGAAAUCUUUUGAAUCUCCGUCGUGCUGGGGAUAGAUCAUUGCAAUUAUUGAUCUUGAACGAGGAAUUCCUAGUAAGCGCAAGUCAUCAACUUGCGUUGAUUACGUCCCUGCCCUUUGUACACACCGCCCGUCGCUACUACCGAUUGAAUGGCUUAGUGAGGUCUUCGGACUGGACUUCGGGGAGCCGGCAACGGCACCCUGUCGCUGGGAAGUUGAUCAAACUUGGUCAUUUAGAGGAAGUAAAAGUCGUAACA
Molecule: ribosomal RNA, 329 nt
Filed under: uncultured eukaryote
Lineage: Eukaryota
Description: partial 18S ribosomal RNA
Rfam family: Eukaryotic small subunit ribosomal RNA
Source: RNAcentral